GUGCCAGCAGCCGCGGUAAUACGUAGGGUGCAAGCGUUAAUCGGAAUUACUGGGCGUAAAGCGUGCGCAGGCGGUUUUGUAAGUCUGUCGUGAAAGCCCCGGGCUCAACCUGGGAAUUGCGAUGGAGACUGCAAGGCUUGAAUCUGGCAGAGGGGGGUAGAAUUCCACGUGUAGCAGUGAAAUGCGUAGAGAUGUGGAGGAACACCGAUGGCGAAGGCAGCCCCCUGGGUCAAGAUUGACGCUCAUGCACGAAAGCGUGGGGAGCAAACAG
Molecule: ribosomal RNA, 271 nt
Filed under: uncultured Burkholderiales bacterium
Lineage: Bacteria; Pseudomonadati; Pseudomonadota; Betaproteobacteria; Burkholderiales
Description: partial 16S ribosomal RNA
Rfam family: Bacterial small subunit ribosomal RNA
Source: RNAcentral